RNAcentral lists this ribosomal RNA (166 nucleotides) under Wisteria floribunda (Japanese wisteria). Its description in RNAcentral is "5.8S ribosomal RNA". It matches the Rfam family "5.8S ribosomal RNA". Rfam says of the family: 5.8S ribosomal RNA (5.8S rRNA) is a component of the large subunit of the eukaryotic ribosome. It is transcribed by RNA polymerase I as part of the 45S precursor that also contains 18S and 28S rRNA. Functionally, it is thought that 5.8S rRNA may be involved in ribosome translocation. RNAcentral also lists the same sequence under 2 other names. Lineage: Eukaryota; Viridiplantae; Streptophyta; Magnoliopsida; Fabales; Fabaceae. The record is from RNAcentral.
UAUAGAAUGACUCUCGGCAACGGAUAUCUAGGCUCUUGCAUCGAUGAAGAACGUAGCGAAAUGCGAUACUUGGUGUGAAUUGCAGAAUCCCGUGAACCAUCGAGUCUUUGAACGCAAGUUGCGCCUGAAGCCAUUAGGUUGAGGGCACGUCUGCCUGGGUGUCACA